ACAGGAACCUACCUGCCUGACGUUGCUGCGCUUCAAACACCUCCUCUUCGCACCUGAUGGGGACGAGCGCGUGGCCACGUCUCAUCUGUUUUGAUCAUGUAUCUCUCGAUAUAUGGAGGAAGAAAUGUGACCUAUCAAUAAACAAACAAGGGGGAAAAAGAGACAGGUGUGCCGCACCUCUGAACUCCAGCCUCCUACAGUUCUGAGCAGGAUAAAUGAUAUAGAAAAAAUGGAUGGAUUCCUGGAUUGGUCUUGUUUGGCUCAUCACUCCAAGGCCUGUGGGACACUGAUAUACCGAUGUCAGGACACAAAUAUCAGGAUGCGUAACUGUACUGAAACCUGGCUGCCUCGCUGUGACGACUCCAGGUGCUGUGCACAGUCACUGCACACAACUGUUGUUUGCCAAAGAAAAACUUCCAAGAUGCAAAUUCUCCCUGAGGCCACAAAUUCUUUUAAGAUUUCUCUUUAGGUGUCUGUGAGAGAGAGACACAGUGGAAGAGCUAUGAGGAAGUGAACAGAGGUUCUGGCGGUGGAUCAAAUCAUGUGUUCAGAGUCAGCAUCAAUGCCUGACCUGGAUUUCAAGCUUCUCUCUUUCCCAUCUCUGGAGCCUCCAUUGUCUAUCUGACUGUGUAUCUGUGUGUGAGAGAGAGUAGACUAAAGUUGUACUGUUGGGAAGAAAAAAACAUUGGAAAGCAAGAACAAAAUGACCACAAAGAGGAAGUCAGUCCUGUCUUUUGAGAAACUGGAAUCUCCCUCAACAAUACUGCUCUCUUUGAUGAGAGACACCAAAACGCGAAAUAAACAAAUGAAGCAACAUAAUCAGCUGGCCAAUUGGCGUUUUUUUUUACUGCCGUUGUUGGUUUGCGUGUGUUGUCAUUGGCUGCGUCGUGUGUCGUCAUCGUCCUUCUGGGAGGAGCGCAGAGAGGCGGAGAAAUGAAGCCGGAAGGCUUAAACCAACGUUCGGACCGGCGUCUCGGUUUGUCAGUACUGUUUUAAAACCUAAUUACCGAAGAAGCCUGGAUGCUAAAACAAACUUUGGAGCUGCUUUUUUUGUCGAACACGAGUGAGGCUGAACGCUGAAUACACCUUCGGCUCCAAGGUAAGGCUAAGGAGCGAACUAGCGUCCCUGACAUGAAUUGAACUCCCAACGUGGAUGGGCGAAAACACUACGAACUCUCGAUAGUCUGUUUCAAUCCCUGUUAUAUUUGUUUACAGUCACUUUGCAUCCCUUGUCACUUUGUGUUCUACCCUGGCCAUUUUAACUCAGCGGUCUGUUAUAUUGUUGUCGUCGGUUUGUGGCCAUUUUGUAUUACAUUGCGUCUGUACUUUGCUGCUUUACACCAAGAUGUCAGCGUUAGCAUUAGUUGCGAGCAUUAGCAUUAGCCCUGUCUUUCAAUUUUGUAGUUGUUUUUAUUUUCG
This is a long non-coding RNA of Lates calcarifer (barramundi perch), 1419 nucleotides long. RefSeq lists it as uncharacterized. The record is from RefSeq and is a predicted model, not a curated record. Lineage: Eukaryota; Metazoa; Chordata; Actinopteri; Centropomidae. The transcript has 4 exons.